Quercus lobata is the source of this 4355-nucleotide long non-coding RNA. RefSeq lists it as uncharacterized. The record is from RefSeq and is a predicted model, not a curated record. The transcript is spliced from 3 exons. Lineage: Eukaryota; Viridiplantae; Streptophyta; Magnoliopsida; Fagales; Fagaceae.
CAUUCUGGACUCAUAUUUGAGCUCUGAAGUUUUUGCCAUGCUUCUGUAUAAGUCGGUGAUGUCUAUUUUGUUGUUUUAUGUGGACAAUGUUUGAUUAUUUUUAUCUUGAUCUGCCUACAGGAUUGGAAACUGAUUUGGACUUUCUUGUACUUGAGCUGGCGAGUUUGUGUAGAAGUCUUAAAUCUUUUUCGAACCUAAACUCUGUAGACUACAACAAUAAGAAAUCUCACAGUGUCUUGAUUUUUCAUUUUGCUUAUGAGUCCUUUAAUAUAGUGUUCCCACUAACUGUGAUGCUAUACUAUUCCUUGUUCAAUUUAUUUGUAGGUUUUGGUCCUCGCCAGCUCUUUUAAGGCAUUUGUUUUGGUGAAGUUGACUUUCCUCAAUUGAUUUGGUUCUUCUCUAUAGGAGCACAAUUCCAUAUUGUUGGCUGGCUGGUAAUUAUGAGUUUUAAAAGUUAAUUAACAUUGUAAAAUAAAAAAAAAGUGCUUGCAUUAUGUGUAUUUUAGGCUCCAUUUGUUUAGUUUUAACUAAUCCCCGCAUUACUUGGCAUUUUUGUCCCUGAUCCUUUUUCUAACUGCUGUCUACAUGCACUCAUUACAGCUUUUAAGAACUUAAGAUUGUCAAUUUUGUCAUUGGGCAGUCAUAUAAGAUAACAGCAGCCAGCUUUAAAAAUGGUUGUUUGAAUGCCCAAAAAAUAUAAGAUUUACCCUGUACCAUUCGUUAUGCAACUUUUGCAGUUGUAGGUGCAUGUGAAAAAAUCUCACUGGGAAUAUUUUUUGGAGCUUGGCAGCUUAAGGCUUGUUGUUGUUGUUGGCGGCUUAGGUGAUGGAGUUUAGUUUGGUGAUAAGCAAUAUUUUCUUUCCCCCUUGUUUUCUUUAUUCUCUCCUUCAAUCAUAUGAAUUAUAAGCCACUAAAGGUUUGAGCUUUCUACAUCCGUUUGGUCAUCCUAUGUUGGGAGUUUCAUAUCCAAUUUGGUUUGCCACUUAUUAUCUUUCUACCGAAUGCAGCAUUUUUUUUUUAAUUAUUAUUUUUGUGGUAUGCCACUCAAGCAGUGGAGUCUGAUUUGGCAAUAGGCUCUCUUUUCCUCCCUUUUUAUGUUACUUCUUUUCCUCUACUACAAUCAAAAGAAUUUGAAGGAUAAUUUUUUCUUGUUUUAAUGCUUUUCUAAUAGGGUGUGUGAAUGCUUUUCCUAGGAGAGUUACAAGUUCUAGUAUUUAUAAAAAAAAAAAAAAGUUCUAGUCUUCUGAAUGAGGUUUUGAAACUUCUAUUGUAAUUUUUGUUCCUUGCUGUCUCAUUUAAAUUUUGGUCAUUUUGUGUUGGCAACCUCAGUAAUGAUAUCCAGUUUAAGCCAGUGAUGUCUCUUAUUGGUGCGGAGCAGUAAUAAAGCCAUGUGUAACCUGAAUUUGGUUGUAGAGGUAAAACUAUACAGGUUUUGCUUUCUCUUCUCUUAGCAGUAGUUGGACUUUUUGGGAAUUACAAGGAAUUCACUUUAUAUUUCUUGAUUUGCGUCAUAAUUUGUUAAGUUGGAUUGUUGUUGAUUCUUUUCCGUGUCACCAAAUAUCUGGCAACAGGGAAGAGCUAGGCUUUCAGUGUUAUAAGUAUUUAUCUUUAUAUUUGUUGGAUUAUUUUUAUACUGAAAUAUAGUAGUUCAUUUUAUUCGUUGUUUUGAAAUUCUUGGUGCAUGUUAAAAAUCCAUUCCUCAUAAAUCUACAGGAACUGGUAUUUUCUUUUUGGGUACUUAGCAGAAGAGGUUGAGUUUGAUAUAGUGAUAAGCUCUUUUUCUGUCCCACUUUCAUCUGUCUAUUUUCAUAAGAAUUAUACAAUUUUUGGCUCUUUUAAUUCUUUAUAAUAUUGGGGCCUGCUUCUGUUAGGCUUAGCUUUUUUGGGCAGCCAUGAAUUCAAUGUCCCACCUGGUGAGGGUUUGAAAUUUCCCUAGCAAUUAUAUUUCCUCUGUCCUGUCUUGUUUAAUUUUUUUCUCAUUCAAUCUGAAGAUGGUAAUGCCUCUUAUUGUUGUGGGGCAGGUAAAUUAACAAAGUUUGUAACCAAUGUUUGCCAGGGAAAAAUAAUUCAGGCUUUUGCUUUAUCCUGUUAUGAUUUGCAUGUGUUGGGCUUUGUAGGAAUGACAUGGAUCAAAUUUUUGUCUCUAGAAUUGCAUUAUAUCUUGUAACCUUAGAUUGUUGCUGAUUGCUUUCCUUGUCGUAGAAAGUGAGUGGGCAGAUACUGUCAAUAUCAAAUCAGGUUCAUUUUCAGUCUGAAGUUUUUGUUAUUUCUGGUCUCAUAUUUGAGCAGUGAUUGACAUGUUUCUUUAUAAGCUGUAGAUGUCCAUCUUGUUGUUUUGUGUGGACAAUGUUCAUUAUUUUAAUCUUGAUCUAUCUACAUCAGGGGAAAUUGAGUUGGACUUUCUUGUACUUAAGCAGCUGAGGUUGUAUAAAAGUCUUUACUUUUUUUUUGAACUUGGCUGCGUGUUGACUGCAACAAUAAGGAAGCUCUUUUUUUUUUUUUUUGGGUUCUUGAAUUUCACAUUUUGCUUAUAUGUCCUUAGUAUAGUGUUCCCACUAACAUGAUACUAUACUAUUCCUUGUUCAAUUUACUUAUAGGUUUUGGUCCUCGACAGCCCUGUGAAGGCAUUUGUUUCUGUGAAGUUGGCUUUUCUAGAUCGAUUUGGUUCUUGUUUGUUGGAGCACAUUUCCUUAUUGUUGGCUGGCUGGUAAUGAUAAGUUUAAAAAUUCAAUUGACAUUGUAAACGAAAAUUGUUGCUUGCAUUGUGUGUUUUUCAGGCUUCAUUUGUUUGGUUUUAACUAAUUACAGAACUACUUAGCAUUUUUUUCCUGGUUCCUUUCUCUAUUGCUGUCUACUUGCACUUCUUACUACCUUUAAGAACCUAAGGUCUUCAAUAUCAUCAUUGGGCAGUUGUAUAAGAUAAAAGCAGCCAGCUUCAAACAUGGUUGUUUUGAACGUCAUCAAUUCUAGUCGUUUUUACAACUUUUGCAAUUUUGGGUCCAGGUGAAAAAAUCUCACUGGAUUUUUUUUGGUGCCAGGCAGCUCAGGCAGUAGAGUUUGGUUUGGCGAUAAGCUUCCUUUUUCCUCCCUUGUUUUCUUUAUUCUAUGCUACAAUCAAAUGAAUUAUAAGGAUAUUUUUCCAAUUGUUCUAAUUCCUUCUAAUGCUUGGGACAUGUAUGCAUUUCUUAGGAUUUAGUUUCCUUGAGGAUUAUAAAUUCCAGUCACACUCAAUGAGGGUUUGAAACUUUCAUUGGAAUUCUUGUCCCCUUGUCCUGCUGACUCAUUCAAUUUUUAGUCAUUAUGUUUUGGCAAGCUGAUAUAUGAUUUUUUUGUAGUAGUUACAUUUAUUGGUGUGGGCAGAUCAUGUGCCGUGGUGAUUGGCAUGAGUUGGGCCUUCUGGGCAUUACAUGAAGAAUUUGCAUCAUAAUCUGUAAUCUUAAGGUAAUUGAAGAUUGAUUUCCUCAUCAUAGAAAGUGAGUUGGCAGAUCUUGUCAAUAUUGAACCAAGUUGUUAGUCUGAAGUCUUUGUUAUUCUGGACUCUGUACUAUUUGGGCACCGAGUAACACAUGCGUCUUUAUAAGCUGGUGAUGAUCUCUUUGUGGUUUUAUGAACACAUGUUGAUAAUUUUUAUUUUGAUUGUUUACUGGAGGCAAAACUGAUUUUGACUUGUAUUUAUCUUGUAGAGAUAAUUUCUUUGAAAGAAAGUUUUUAUGGUAACUUCUGCAAUUUUGAGUGUGUGUUGAAAUCUCAAUCCUAACAUGUCUACAGGAAGCAGAAUUUUUUUUUUGGACUUAUGGGGGAAGUUAGAUUCUGCAAUAAGAUCUCUUUUCCUCCUGUAGAUUGACAGUGAUGGUGAUCCAAAUUUGGUUGUGGAGGUAGAAUAAUACUGGUUUUUGCUUUGACCUGUGAUUGGCAAUAAUUUGGCUUUAUAAUAUAUCCGAUCUGCAUGCUUUUUAAAGACUUGCUGUUCUCUAAAUGCCUGAGAAGUGUAUCUGCUUCCUUAUGUACACUCUAUAGGUAGAUUCCUCUUAUUGGUGUGGGGCGAGUAGAUUGAUGCCGACGCUUUUGUUGCCAAGGGAGAAUUAUAUAGGUUAUUGGUUUGUCCUGUAAUUGCCAUUAGUUGGGGUUUUCUGUGAAUGAAAUGCUUUUAACUUACGUAUUUGAAUUUUGCAUCAUUAUUCAUAAAAUAUGUUGCUAAUUGAUUUCCAAUUCAAAGAAAAUGAAUGAGCAGAUGCCAUCAAGACUUCUUUAUAAGUUGAUGUUUAUUUUGUGGUUGUGACGACUACUUUCCUAGCUCCUACAAUUGUUUUGUAUGUUGAAACAAAAAUGUUUGAUUAUUUAAACUUUAUAUGUAU